CUGCAUUAGCUAGUUGGUAAGGUAACGGCUUACCAAGGCAACGAUGCAUAGCCGACCUGAGAGGGUGAUCGGCCACACUGGAACUGAGACACGGUCCAGACUCCUACGGGAGGCAGCAGUAGGGAAUCUUCCGCAAUGGGCGAAAGCCUGACGGAGCAACGCCGCGUGAGUGAUGAAGGUCUUCGGAUCGUAAAACUCUGUUAUUAGGGAAGAACAUAUGUGUAAGUAACUGUGCACAUCUUGACGGUACCUAAUCAGAAAGCCACGGCUAACUACGUGCCAGCAGCCGCGGUAAUACGUAGGUGGCAAGCGUUAUCCGGAAUUAUUGGGCGUAAAGCGCGCGUAGGCGGUUUUUUAAGUCUGAUGUGAAAGCCCACGGCUCAACCGUGGAGGGUCAUUGGAAACUGGAAAACUUGAGUGCAGAAGAGGAAAGUGGAAUUCCAUGUGUAGCGGUGAAAUGCGCAGAGAUAUGGAGGAACACCAGUGGCGAAGGCGACUUUCUGGUCUGUAACUGACGCUGAUGUGCGAAAGCGUGGGGAUCAAACAGGAUUAGAUACCCUGGUAGUCCACGCCGUAAACGAUGAGUGCUAAGUGUUAGGGGGUUUCCGCCCCUUAGUGCUGCAGCUAACGCAUUAAGCACUCCGCCUGGGGAGUACGACCGCAAGGUUGAAACUCAAAGGAAUUGACGGGGACCCGCACAAGCGGUGGAGCAUGUGGUUUAAUUCGAAGCAACGCGAAGAACCUUACCAAAUCUUGACAUCCUUUGACAACUCUAGAGAUAGAGCCUUCCCCUUCGGGGGACAAAGUGACAGGUGGUGCAUGGUUGUCGUCAGCUCGUGUCGUGAGAUGUUGGGUUAAGUCCCGCAACGAGCGCAACCCUUAAGCUUAGUUGCCAUCAUUAAGUUGGGCACUCUAAGUUGACUGCCGGUGACAAACCGGAGGAAGGUGGGGAUGACGUCAAAUCAUCAUGCCCCUUAUGAUUUGGGCUACACACGUGCUACAAUGGACAAUACAAAGGGCAGCGAAACCGCGAGGUCAAGCAAAUCCCAUAAAGUUGUUCUCAGUUCGGAUUGUAGUCUGCAACUCGACUACAUGAAGCUGGAAUCGCUAGUAAUCGUAGAUCAGCAUGCUACGGUGAAUACGUUCCCGGGUCUUGUACACACCGCCCGUCACACCACGAGAGUUUGUAACACCCGAAGCCGGUGGAGUAACCUUUUAGGAGCUAGCCGUCGAAGGUGGGACAAAUGAUUGGGGUGAAGUCGUAACAAGGUAGCCGUAUCGGAAGGUGCGGCUGGAUCACCUCCUUU
This 1307-nucleotide ribosomal RNA is filed under the name Staphylococcus aureus. RNAcentral's name for it is "bacterial SSU rRNA". It matches the Rfam family "Bacterial small subunit ribosomal RNA", at positions 236 to 1533 of the family's 1533-position model. The record is from RNAcentral. Lineage: Bacteria; Bacillati; Bacillota; Bacilli; Caryophanales; Staphylococcaceae.